This 67-nucleotide transfer RNA is filed under the name Serratella sp. Yunnan-2018. Its description in RNAcentral is "tRNA-Ser". The record is from RNAcentral. Lineage: Eukaryota; Metazoa; Arthropoda; Insecta; Ephemeroptera; Ephemerellidae. RNAcentral also lists the same sequence under 1 other name.
AAGGUAUAAAGUUUUUAUAGAAAGCCGCUAACUUUCUUCAUAGCAGUUAAAUUCUGUUAAUACCUUU